GUGGGGAAUUUUGCGCAAUGGGGGAAACCCUGACGCAGCAACGCCGCGUGGAGGAUGAAGUAUCUUGGUACGUAAACUCCUUUCGAUAGGGAAGAUAAUGACGGUACCUAUAGAAGAAGCCCCGGCUAACUUCGUGCCAGCAGCCGCGGUAAUACGAGGGGGGCAAGCGUUGUUCGGAUUUAUUGGGCGUAAAGGGUGCGUAGGCGGUUUGAUAAGUCUUGUGUGAAAUCUAUGGGCUCAACCCAUAGCCUGAACGAGAAACUGUCGGGCUGGAGUAUGGGAGAGGUGAGUGGAAUUUCCGGUGUAGCGGUGAAAUGCGUAGAUAUCGGAAGGAACACCUGUGGCGAAAGCGGCUCACUGGACCAUUACUGACGCUGAUGCACGAAAGCUAGGGGAGCAAACAGG
This 405-nucleotide ribosomal RNA is filed under the name uncultured Granulicella sp. Its description in RNAcentral is "bacterial SSU rRNA". It matches the Rfam family "Bacterial small subunit ribosomal RNA", at positions 354 to 776 of the family's 1533-position model. The record is from RNAcentral. Lineage: Bacteria; Pseudomonadati; Acidobacteriota; Terriglobia; Terriglobales; Acidobacteriaceae.